CCAGCAGCUCCUCCAUCAUGGAGGACGUUCCCUCACUGUAACAGGUGGAGGAGAGAGGAGAGGAAGCACAGGUGGAUCCUCUGAGGAAGAGGAGCGUUCCUACAAACCACAUGAUCACAUGACCAGAGGGGCGUGGCCUUCAGUGGUAGUAAUAAAGGAACAGUCCA
Molecule: long non-coding RNA, 167 nt
Organism: Oreochromis niloticus (Nile tilapia)
Lineage: Eukaryota; Metazoa; Chordata; Actinopteri; Cichliformes; Cichlidae
Exons: 2
Source: RefSeq, a predicted model, not a curated record